AGAUGUUGGGUUAAGUCCCGCAACGAGCGCAACCCUCGACCUUAGUUGCCAGCAUUCAGUUGGGCAACUCUAAGGUGACUGCCGGCUAAAAGUCGGAGGAAGUGGGGAUGACGUCAAAUCAUCAUGCCCCUUAUGACCUGGGCUACACACGUGCUACAAUGGGCGGUACAAAGGGUCGCGAACCCGCGAGGGGGAGCCAAUCCCAAAAAAGCCGCUCUCAGUUCGGAUUGCAGGCUGCAACUCGCCUGCAUGAAGCCGGAAUCGCUAGUAAUCGCGGAUCAGCAUGCCGCGGUGAAUACGUUCCCGGGCCUU
This 312-nucleotide ribosomal RNA is filed under the name uncultured Paenibacillus sp. Its description in RNAcentral is "bacterial SSU rRNA". It matches the Rfam family "Bacterial small subunit ribosomal RNA", at positions 1070 to 1382 of the family's 1533-position model. The record is from RNAcentral. Lineage: Bacteria; Bacillati; Bacillota; Bacilli; Caryophanales; Paenibacillaceae.